UAAGGAAUAUUGGUCAAUGGACGCAAGUCUGAACCAGCCAUGCCGCGUGGAGGAUGAAGGUCCUCUGGAUUGUAAACUUCUUUUAUCUGGGACGAAACACUUCUUUUCUAAGAGGCCUGACGGUACCAGAUGAAUAAGCACCGGCUAACUCCGUGCCAGCAGCCGCGGUAAUACGGAGGGUGCAAGCGUUAUCCGGAUUCACUGGGUUUAAAGGGUGCGUAGGUGGGUAUGUAAGUCAGUGGUGAAAUCCCCGAGCUUAACUUGGGAACUGCCAUUUAUACUAUAUAUCUUGAAUACCGUAGAGGUAAGCGGAAUAUGUCAUGUAGCGGUGAAAUGCUUAGAUAUGACAUGGAACACCAAUUGCGAAGGCAGCUUACGAUGCGGUGAUUGACGCUGAGGCACGAAAGCGUGGGUAGCAAACA
This 422-nucleotide ribosomal RNA is filed under the name uncultured bacterium. RNAcentral's name for it is "bacterial SSU rRNA". It matches the Rfam family "Bacterial small subunit ribosomal RNA", at positions 355 to 774 of the family's 1533-position model. The record is from RNAcentral.